GACGAACGCUGGCGGCGUGCUUAACACAUGCAAGUCGAACGGAAAGGCCCUGCUUUUGUGGGGUGCUCGAGUGGCGAACGGGUGAGUAACACGUGAGUAACCUGCCCUUGACUUUGGGAUAACUUCAGGAAACUGGGGCUAAUACCGGAUAGGAGCUCCUGCUGCAUGGUGGGGGUUGGAAAGUUUCGGCGGUUGGGGAUGGACUCGCGGCUUAUCAGCUUGUUGGUGGGGUAGUUGCUUACCAAGGCUUUGACGGGUAGCCGGCAUGAGAGGGUGACCGGCCACAUUGGGACUGAGAUACGGCCCAGACUCCUACGGGAGGCAGCAGUGGGGAAUCUUGCACAGUGGGCGGAAGCCUGAUGCAGCAACGCCGCGUGCGGGAUGACGGCCUUCGGGUUGUAAACCGCUUUCGCCUGUGACGAAGCGUGAGUGACGGUAAUGGGUAAAGAAGCACCGGCUAACUACGUG
This 468-nucleotide ribosomal RNA is filed under the name uncultured bacterium. RNAcentral's name for it is "partial 16S ribosomal RNA". It matches the Rfam family "Bacterial small subunit ribosomal RNA", at positions 28 to 507 of the family's 1533-position model. The record is from RNAcentral.